This 519-nucleotide ribosomal RNA is filed under the name fungal sp. AM2013. Its description in RNAcentral is "eukaryotic LSU rRNA". The stretch from base 143 to 296 matches the Rfam family "5.8S ribosomal RNA". The record is from RNAcentral. Lineage: Eukaryota; Fungi.
CUUCGGCCCCGUCGAGAUAGCACCCUUGUCCUCCUCGGCGCACUUGUAUCGUUUCCUCGGGCUGGUCCCCAGCCCGAACGGACCCCAACCAAACCCUUUUCGCAGUGCCUGUCUCAGUCUGAUCGUAAACAAAAUCGUUAACAACUUUCAACAAUGGAUCUCUUGGUUCUGGCAUCGAUGAAGAACGCAGCGAAAUGCGAUAAGUAGUGUGAAUUGCAGAAUUCAGUGAAUCAUCGAAUCUUUGAACGCACAUUGCGCCCUUUGGUAUUCCUUAGGGCAUGCUUGUUCGAGCGUCAUUCUCACCCCUCCAAGCCCCGCUUGGCUGUUGGGCGCCUUGUCCCGCCUCCCGCGCGCGGACUCGCCCCAAAUGCACCGGCGGCCGCCCCUAACGAGCCUGAGCGCAGCAGAAACGCGCCUCGAGGCGGCAGGGCGCGGCAGGCCCCCGCGAAACGGAAAAUGACCCCCCUCGAAGGACCUCGAAUCAAGCAGGAGUACCCGCUGAACUUAAGCAUAUCAAUA